UCUAAGGAACAACACGAAGACAAUUCAAUUGGUGCAGAGCGACCCGUGAGGAGUUCUCGUCUGUCGAGGACGAAAACCGAGCUCACAUCAGAUUAUAAUUGCCGCACACACCAUUGGGCCCUGACACAACACUCGAUCGAACCGAGAGGAGUCACUCCAUCGUGGUGGUGGGAUGCGGUGUUUGAAUAUUGUAUAGUGUGUGCGAGUCUCUAAAUGAACUCGCGCUCCUUACCGCCCGGAGUAUUCUUCCCACUGGGUAUCUUCUUCUUUGGAUUUUGUGAAGUAAGUAAGUGUUAAGCGUGGCAUGGCAGGAUGCCAUGACGUCGAGAGCCGAUGAAAGACGUGAGAGGCUGCUAUAUGCCUCCGAAAGAUGCCUGCCUAGCAUUGAGCCGAGGAUUUCAAAAUGAAGAACACCCGCAAGCCGAAUUCCUACUACACUGAUCCGCAGCUACUAA
RNAcentral lists this unclassified non-coding RNA (455 nucleotides) under uncultured Actinomycetes bacterium. RNAcentral describes it as "uncultured actinobacterium partial contains 16S ribosomal RNA, 16S-23S ribosomal RNA intergenic spacer, and 23S ribosomal RNA". The record is from RNAcentral. Lineage: Bacteria; Bacillati; Actinomycetota; Actinomycetes.